AGUCGAGCGACGGACGAGAAGCUUGCUUCUCUGAUGUUAGCGGCGGACGGGUGAGUAACACGUGGAUAACCUACCUAUAAGACUGGGAUAACUUCGGGAAACCGGAGCUAAUACCGGAUAAUAUUUUGAACCGCAUGGUUCAAAAGUGAAAGACGGUCUUGCUGUCACUUAUAGAUGGAUCCGCGCUGCAUUAGCUAGUUGGUAAGGUAACGGCUUACCAAGGCAACGAUGCAUAGCCGACCUGAGAGGGUGAUCGGCCACACUGGAACUGAGACACGGUCCAGACUCCUACGGGAGGCAGCAGUAGGGAAUCUUCCGCAAUGGGCGAAAGCCUGACGGAGCAACGCCGCGUGAGUGAUGAAGGUCUUCGGAUCGUAAAACUCUGUUAUUAGGGAAGAACAUAUGUGUAAGUAACUGUGCACAUCUUGACGGUACCUAAUCAGAAAGCCACGGCUAACUACGUGCCAGCAGCCGCGGUAAUACGUAGGUGGCAAGCGUUAUCCGGAAUUAUUGGGCGUAAAGCGCGCGUAGGCGGUUUUUUAAGUCUGAUGUGAAAGCCCACGGCUCAACCGUGGAGGGUCAUUGGAAACUGGAAAACUUGAGUGCAGAAGAGGAAAGUGGAAUUCCAUGUGUAGCGGUGAAAUGCGCAGAGAUAUGGAGGAACACCAGUGGCGAAGGCGACUUUCUGGUCUGUAACUGACGCUGAUGUGCGAAAGCGUGGGGAUCAACAGGAUUAGAUACCUGGUAGUCACGCCGUAACGAUGAGUGCUAGUGUAGGGGUUC
Molecule: ribosomal RNA, 783 nt
Filed under: Staphylococcus sp. HGH0017
Lineage: Bacteria; Bacillati; Bacillota; Bacilli; Caryophanales; Staphylococcaceae
Description: bacterial SSU rRNA
Rfam family: Bacterial small subunit ribosomal RNA
Source: RNAcentral